GGAGGUAAAAGUCGUAACAAGGUUUCCGUAGGUGAACCUGCGGAAGGAUCAUUAUUGGAUUUUGAAACUUCAGGCUGCUGCUGGCUCUCCUCGGAGGGCAUGUGCACACUUGUUGUCCAUUAUUUCUCCCACUGUGCAUAAAUUGUAGACCUUUCAGUAGGCCUAUGUUGUUUUUCACAAUCUCUGAAUGUAAUAGAAUGGUUUUGAAUCUUGGGAAAUACAAUACAACUUUCAGCAACGGAUCUCUUGGCUCUC
This 255-nucleotide unclassified non-coding RNA is filed under the name plant metagenome. RNAcentral describes it as "partial contains small subunit ribosomal RNA, internal transcribed spacer 1, and 5.8S ribosomal RNA". The stretch from base 1 to 54 matches the Rfam family "Eukaryotic small subunit ribosomal RNA", at positions 1778 to 1831 of the family's 1831-position model. The record is from RNAcentral.